RNAcentral lists this transfer RNA (69 nucleotides) under Spilogale angustifrons. Its description in RNAcentral is "tRNA-Glu". It matches the Rfam family "tRNA". Rfam says of the family: Transfer RNA (tRNA) molecules are approximately 80 nucleotides in length. Their secondary structure includes four short double-helical elements and three loops (D, anti-codon, and T loops). The record is from RNAcentral. Lineage: Eukaryota; Metazoa; Chordata; Mammalia; Carnivora; Mephitidae.
GUUUCUAUAGUUGAAUAACAACGGUGGUUUUUCAUAUCAUCAGUCAUGGUUAAAUUCCAUGUGGAAAUA